Molecule: ribosomal RNA, 485 nt
Filed under: uncultured bacterium
Lineage: Bacteria
Description: bacterial SSU rRNA
Rfam family: Bacterial small subunit ribosomal RNA
Source: RNAcentral
AUUGAACGCUGGCGGCGUGCCUUACACAUGCAAGUCGAACGGCAGCACGGGGGCAACCCUGGUGGCGAGUGGCGAACGGGUGAGUAAUACAUCGGAACGUGCCCUGUAGUGGGGGAUAACUAGUCGAAAGAUUAGCUAAUACCGCAUACGACCUGAGGGUGAAAGCGGGGGACCGUAAGGCCUCGCGCUACAGGAGCGGCCGAUGUCUGAUUAGCUAGUUGGUGGGGUAAAAGCCUACCAAGGCGACGAUCAGUAGCUGGUCUGAGAGGACGAUCAGCCACACUGGGACUGAGACACGGCCCAGACUCCUACGGGAGGCAGCAGUGGGGAAUUUUGGACAAUGGGGGCAACCCUGAUCCAGCAAUGCCGCGUGUGUGAAGAAGGCCUUCGGGUUGUAAAGCACUUUUGUCCGGAAAGAAAUGGCUCUGGUUAAUACCUGGGGUCGAUGACGGUACCGGAAGAAUAAGCACCGGCUAACUACGUGC